Molecule: ribosomal RNA, 212 nt
Filed under: uncultured bacterium
Lineage: Bacteria
Description: partial 16S ribosomal RNA
Rfam family: Bacterial small subunit ribosomal RNA
Source: RNAcentral
CACGUAGGGUCCGAGCGUUGUCCGGAGUUACUGGGCGUAAAGCGCGCGCAGGCGGUCGCGCACAUCGGCGGUGAAAGCCCCCCCGCUCAACGGGGGAGGGUCCGUCGAGAUGGCGCGACUGGAGGCAGGGAGAGGGCGGUGGAAUUCCGGGUGUAGUGGUGAAAUGCGUAGAGAUCCGGAGGAACACCAGUGGCGAAGGCGGCCGCCUGGAC